This 512-nucleotide ribosomal RNA is filed under the name uncultured bacterium. RNAcentral's name for it is "partial 16S ribosomal RNA". It matches the Rfam family "Bacterial small subunit ribosomal RNA", at positions 28 to 507 of the family's 1533-position model. The record is from RNAcentral.
GAUGAACGCUGGCGGCGUGCCUAAUACAUGCAAGUCGAACGAAACUUCUUUAUCACCGAGUGCUUGCACUCACCGAUAAAGAGUUGAGUGGCGAACGGGUGAGUAACACGUGGGCCACCUGCCCAAAAGAGGGGGAUAACACUUGGAAACAGGUGCUAAUACCGCAUAACCAUAGUUACCGCAUGGUAACUAUGUAAAAGGUGGCUAUACUACCGCUUUUGGAUGGGCCCGCGGCGCAUUAGCUAGUUGGUAGGGUAAAGGCUUACCAAGGCAAUGAUGCGUAGCCGAAUUGAGAGGUUGAUCGGCCACAUUGGGACUGAGACACGGCCCAAACUCCUACGGGAGGCAGCAGUAGGGAAUCUUCCACAAUGGGCGAAAGCCUGAUGGAGCAACGCCGCGUGGGUGAAGAAGGUCUUCGGAUCGUAAAACCCUGUUGUUAGAGAAGAAAGUGCGUGAGAGUAACUGUUCACGUUUCGACGGUAUCUAACCAGAAAGCCACGGCUAACUACGUG